Molecule: ribosomal RNA, 460 nt
Filed under: uncultured bacterium
Lineage: Bacteria
Description: partial 16S ribosomal RNA
Rfam family: Bacterial small subunit ribosomal RNA
Source: RNAcentral
CCUACGGGGGGCAGCAGUGAGGAAUAUUGGUCAAUGGGCGCGAGCCUGAACCAGCCAAGUAGCGUGAAGGAUGACUGCCCUACGGGUUGUAAACUUCUUUUAUAAAGGAAUAAAGUGAGGCACGUGUGCCUUUUUGCAUGUACUUUAUGCAUAAGGAUCGGCUAACUCCGUGCCAGCAGCCGCGGUAAUACGGAGGAUCCGAGCGUUAUCCGGAUUUAUUGGGUUUAAAGGGAGCGUAGAUGGGUUGUUAAGUCAGUUGUGAAAGUUUGCGGCUCAACCGUAAAAUUGCAAUUGAUACUGGCAGCCUUGAGUACAGUUGAGGUGGGCGGAAUUCGUGGUGUAGCGGUGAAAUGCUUAGAUAUCACGAAGAACUCCGAUUGCGAAGGCAGCUUACUAAACUGCCACUGACAUUGAGGCUCGAAAGUGUGGGGAGCAAACAGGAUUAGAUACCCGGGUAGUC